UCCUUGCAGUCCAAGGGACUCUCAAGAGUCUUCUCCAACACCACAGUUCAAAAGCCAGUAACUAUUCAUCCUUAAAUUCCAGGAUACUUUUCAGAAUUAUUUUUACAGCUUCCAGGCAAAAGUAUGAAAGUAUCUAGCCCCCAAAGGAAAUUUCAUCUCCCUCAACUAAGAUUUCCAGUUGUCAGCCUCCUAUUACAGCAAGCAGCAAAACCUACUUAUGAAAAACAUAUGUAAGAGAAUACAAUAUUUUAUUUCUUUGGUGAAGGCUUCUUAUUGAUUGGUCCUGAGGGUACAAGAAUGGAUGAUAUUUAUGUGCUGCUCUCUAGAAGUCAUAAUAGAAAAGAGCAAAGCAGAUUGUAAAACUUUAUUUCAAACGUUUAAGUGAUAUAAUGGAGGCAUGGGAAAGGUACCCUGGGAGUCUAGACAAAAAAGGAACCUAUAGAGCUUAAAGGAAUUUGUGGUAACAUAGCAGUGACACAGUGAGCAGGGUCUUAAGGGAAGAGGGUGACUUUUGCCAAACAAGGAGUGAGGAGCAUCUCUGCACAGGGCAGAGGCAAACGGGUGGAGAUGUAAACGGGCAGUUUACAGUGGGAUUAGCACAGACAGAGCGAGACUGAAACCUGAGUCCGAGAGACAGGAGUGGUGGGAAUCCAUCACCACCACACGGAUCACAAGAUACAGACCCCUAAGACUGCAGAGUAUUUAUCCAAAACAGACAUCUGAAAGCUGAAAAAAGAUGUAAUAAUGAGAACACAUCUGGGAAGGAAGAAAAUGAAAGAAUGAAAAUAAAGAGAGAGAUUUCAACUUGUAAAACAUCCAGGAUUCUUAGUGCAGGCGUUGAUAGUGAAGAGCUGCUGAGACGGUGAAGCAAGCCUCCUGUGAGACAACAGCGGCAGUGUCGGCCCCGAUUCCCUCAUCCAUGCCGGUCCUCUCAGCGGACAUUCCUGGUCUGGCCAUUUCACACGGAGGGCGACUGCUGGUUCUACCCUACUGGAAACUUGAGAGGGACUGUAGCAGCCAGGCUCCUCUGUCCAUGGGAUUCUCCAG
Molecule: long non-coding RNA, 1047 nt
Organism: Odocoileus virginianus texanus
Lineage: Eukaryota; Metazoa; Chordata; Mammalia; Artiodactyla; Cervidae
Source: RefSeq, a predicted model, not a curated record